GGGAGCCGUAACACAGGUGCGUAAUGGCUAGUCGUCAGCUCGUGUCGUGAGAUGUUGGGUUAAGUCCCGCAAGAUUGGCAAACCUUUNUUCCCUAGUUUGCUACGCAAGAGCACUCUAGGGAGACUGCCGGUGACAAACCGGAGGAAGGUGGGGAUGACGUCAAGUCCUCAUGGCCCUUAUGGGUAGGGCUUCACACGUCAUACAAUGGUCGGAACAGAGGGUUGCCAAGCCGCGAGGUGGAGCCAAUCCCAGAAAACCCCAUCGUAUCCGGA
RNAcentral lists this ribosomal RNA (273 nucleotides) under Paraburkholderia caribensis. RNAcentral describes it as "partial 16S ribosomal RNA". It matches the Rfam family "Bacterial small subunit ribosomal RNA", at positions 1022 to 1297 of the family's 1533-position model. Lineage: Bacteria; Pseudomonadati; Pseudomonadota; Betaproteobacteria; Burkholderiales; Burkholderiaceae. The record is from RNAcentral.